Felis catus (domestic cat) is the source of this 720-nucleotide long non-coding RNA. RefSeq lists it as uncharacterized. The transcript is spliced from 5 exons. The record is from RefSeq and is a predicted model, not a curated record. NCBI's taxonomy places the organism in Eukaryota, Metazoa, Chordata, Mammalia, Carnivora, Felidae.
AUCUUAAAUCCAGAGUUGCGUAUGAGAUUGCUAGUGACCUCUGUCACAAAGAGUCUUUUGGGGGGAAACCUACCUAAGACAGUUUGUACCAGAAAUGAUCCUAGAAAUCAUAAACUAAAUGGUAUUUUGGAUUGUGUUACCUGAUGCCUGGCUGAAAAUGAAGACCAUAUCACUGGAGGCAAGAAUUCCUGCCUCUGAAGUCCAGGUGCUACUGAAGAGAAACAAGUCCCUCCAGCCACAACCUGCACCAAUGGAACAGCCAGGCAAUCACUUACCACUUUUGCUUUCCACCUUCUUGGGGACAUUGCCACUGUCUCUACUAAAAACUCUGUGCCUUGCAGGUUGCCCUGGGGAGUGGUCCCUUGGUCUCUUAAACUCCAGCACAAUAUUUUGCUCCAACCCUGUCUGCCUCCUUCAAGAAUACCCAAGCAAGGGGUUAAAAAUUGAAAGUAUCAGGAGCAUGCUACUCUGCAAUAUGGAUUAGAAAUGCUUCUCAUUGGUUAUCUAUCCUUUGCCUCCAGGCAGGACUACAAGUAAGCCAUGUAAGACAGAUGGGUUUCUAGCCCAGUCAAGAUUUCUAGGGAAGUCAUUUCCACAGCCUCUCAACAUUAAUCAAAAUAACCAGCCCCACAAUUGAGGAGAAUAGCAAAAUAUCCCAGGUAGGCAACAGUUUUUAAUAAAGUGUUAUCUGAUUCCACAUCUGACAAUGGUUCCUUUCCU